Spinacia oleracea (spinach) is the source of this 1223-nucleotide long non-coding RNA. RefSeq lists it as uncharacterized. The record is from RefSeq and is a predicted model, not a curated record. The transcript has 2 exons. Lineage: Eukaryota; Viridiplantae; Streptophyta; Magnoliopsida; Caryophyllales; Amaranthaceae.
CCUUAUAGCUCAGUGGUAGAGCGCCAGUCUUGUAAACUGGAGGUCCGUAGUUCAAUCCUGCGUGAGGGCAAUUUCAUUUUUCUCAAAUUGUUUUUUUAAAUUUGUAUCUCCAUCUCCUCUCAAUAAUUGUUCUCUUUUUUGCCUUGUCGCCUUCCCCAAUUCAAUAAGAGCAGAUUUUGCCCUAAUUCUGCUCUUCCGAAAAGAAAUCAAAAUCAGAGUUCAAACAUCAAAAUGCUAAACUCCCCAAUUUUGUUCAGGCUGAAUCCCUAAAAAUCUCAUUAAUUUUAACCGUCUUCCUCAUUUUAACUCUCAUACCAAGAAAAAAUGGCUAGGCUUUUGCGAGAACUGAUUCGAAAGCCAUCAACUUCUAGCAGAUUCAUUGCGACAUUGUCCCAUCAAAACCCCACUAAUCUCUCUCCUUCAUUGCUGUUUAACCAGUCAAUUCUUUUCGGUAAAACCAAUUUUGACAAUGGAGGUGGGUUAAACCCUAGCAGCAACCAGGGUUUAGCAGAAGCGACCCAUUUCAGCAAAUCGCAGAUUUAUCCGAGUUUCUCACUUGGGUAUUUCUUGGACCCGAUUUCGCCACCUGGUCUGGUAUCUGAGCCCGAAGUGGAGGAUCGGGGAAUGAUGUGGGCUGAUAGUGUGAAGAAGAAGAGGAAGAAGAAGAUGAACAAGCAUAAGUAUAAGAAGCUCAGGAAACGUCUUCGUCGAAAGACCAAGACUUGAUCAGGCUUUUCAGAGUUCAGACUAUUUCUUCUAAGCAUAUCUAGUGAUCGUUUCAACUGAAGCAUUAAUGUGGCUGGAUUUAUGAGCGUAUUUGGGUCCAUUGCUUUCUUGUUCAAGCCGCGAAUAUGAUACUUCUUUCAUUAUGAAGAUAGUUAACUUAGAACAUCAAUAAAGGGAAGACUCUUUAUAUUGGGGAAGGCUCAUUUUCCAGAUAUUCCUAGUCUCCAAUGAAGAAUUUUGGCUUUUUAACUUCUAUCCAGUGGAUUUAUUUUGCUUGAGACAUUAAUAUGGUGUAACUUUAUUUUAUUUUAUUAUUGAUUGAUUUUUUUGCAUGAUUUUCUUAGUAAAGAUUUAACCUUUUAAUUCCUAAAGUUUUUUCCAAUUGUAAUCUUUCUUGCAAGACUUGCAUCUCUUGUUGUGAAAAAACUACACCGUAAGGGCUUACUUGGUGAGGCGCUUGCCUGAUUGAAUUAGAGAGACUGAUUUGCUUUGUUAUA